RNAcentral lists this long non-coding RNA (213 nucleotides) under Elaeis guineensis (African oil palm). Its description in RNAcentral is "long non-coding RNA (EGUI_LNC051935)". The record is from RNAcentral. Lineage: Eukaryota; Viridiplantae; Streptophyta; Magnoliopsida; Arecales; Arecaceae.
CAGGGUCUUCUGACCUUCUGAAAGGUACAUGGGUAUGUUUACGGAGGAAAUAAAAGAAAUGCUCCUUAUGGGAGAUAAGGGUCAUGGUGAUGAUCAUAAUACCUUUGAUGAGGCGAUGUCUGAUAUCAAUUUUGAAAAAUAGUUGAUGCAAUGAAGUCAGAAAUUGACUCGAUGUAUUCGAACCAAGUAUAGACCUUAGUGGAUCCACUCGAG